UCUCAGAUGGUCCAGUGGUCAAGAUUUCCGCCUGUCAGUUCAUAUUGGUGCGAACCUCCCUCCGAAUAUGUGCUCGCGGACGACCGGGGUUCGAUUCCCCGUCUGAGAG
Molecule: transfer RNA, 109 nt
Rfam family: tRNA
About the family: Transfer RNA (tRNA) molecules are approximately 80 nucleotides in length. Their secondary structure includes four short double-helical elements and three loops (D, anti-codon, and T loops).